GACGAACGCUGGCGGCGUGCUUAACACAUGCAAGUCGAACGGAAAGGCCCUGCUUUUGUGGGGUGCUCGAGCGGCGAACGGGUGAGUAACACGUGAGUAACCUGCCCUUGACUUUGGGAUAACUUCAGGAAACUGGGGCUAAUACCGGAUAGGAGCUCCUGCUGCAUGGUGGGGGUUGGAAAGUUUCGGCGGUUGGGGACGGACUCGCGGCUUAUCAGCUUGUUGGUGGGGUAGUGGCUUACCAAGGCUUUGACGGGUAGCCGGCCUGAGAGGGUGACCGGCCACAUUGGGACUGAGAUACGGACCAGACUCCUACGGGAGGCAGCAGUGGGGAAUAUUGCACAAUGGGCGGAAGCCUGAUGCAGCAACGCCGCGUGCGGGAUGACGGCCUUCGGGUUGUAAACCGCUUUCGCCUGUGACGAAGCGUGAGUGACGGUAAUGGGUAAAGAAGCACCGGCUAACUACGUG
This 468-nucleotide ribosomal RNA is filed under the name uncultured bacterium. RNAcentral's name for it is "partial 16S ribosomal RNA". It matches the Rfam family "Bacterial small subunit ribosomal RNA", at positions 28 to 507 of the family's 1533-position model. The record is from RNAcentral.